RNAcentral lists this ribosomal RNA (440 nucleotides) under uncultured bacterium. RNAcentral's name for it is "partial 16S ribosomal RNA". It matches the Rfam family "Bacterial small subunit ribosomal RNA", at positions 338 to 795 of the family's 1533-position model. The record is from RNAcentral.
CCUACGGGGGGCAGCAGUAGGGAAUAUUGCUCAAUGGGCGAAACCCUGAAGCAGCAACGCCGCGUGGAGGAAGACGGUUUUCGGAGUUUAAACUCCUUUUGUUAGAGAAGAAAAUGACGGUAUCGAACGAAUAAGCACCGGCUAACUCCGUGCCAGCAGCCGCGGUAAUAAGGCGGGUGCAAGCGUUACUCGGAAUCACUGGGCGUUAAGGGGGCGUAGGCGGGAUAGCAAGUCAGAGGUGAAAUCCUAUGGCUUAAACCUAGAACUGCAGUUGAAACUGUUAUUCUAGAGUAUGGGAGAGGUAGGUGGAAUGCUUGGUGUAGGGGUGAAAUGCGUAGAGAUCACGAAGAAUACUCAUUGCGAAGGCGGCCUGCUAGAACAUAACUGACGCUGAUGCGCGAAAGCGUGGGGAGCAAACAGGAUUAGAUACCCUAGUAGUC